CGCCAACCUGGUCAGGUCCGGAAGGAAGCAGCCACAACGAGCCCCACUUGGGUCGAUGUCCAGCCUCUCACCU
RNAcentral lists this signal recognition particle RNA (73 nucleotides) under Loktanella sp. Its description in RNAcentral is "partial signal recognition particle sRNA small type". It matches the Rfam family "Bacterial small signal recognition particle RNA", at positions 26 to 97 of the family's 97-position model. From Rfam's summary of the family: The signal recognition particle (SRP) is a universally conserved ribonucleoprotein involved in the co-translational targeting of proteins to membranes. The record is from RNAcentral. Lineage: Bacteria; Pseudomonadati; Pseudomonadota; Alphaproteobacteria; Rhodobacterales; Roseobacteraceae.